UGGGGAAUUUUGCGCAAUGGGCGCAAGCCUGACGCAGCAACGCCGCGUGGAGGAUGAAGGUUUUCGGAUUGUAAACUCCUGUCCCGGGGAAAGAAGGCAGUGACGGUACCCUGGGAGGAAGCCCCGGCUAACUCCGUGCCAGCAGCCGCGGUAAUACGGGGGGGGCGAGCGGUGUUCCGAAUAAAUGGGCGUAAAGGGCGCGUAGGCGGCCUGGGCAGUCCUGGGUGAAAGCCCCCGGCUCAACCGGGGAAGGGCCUGGGAAACCACUGGGCUGGAGUGCUGGAGAGGGAGGCGGAAUUCCUGGUGUAGCGGUGAAAUGCGUAGAGAUCAGGAGGAACAUCGGCGGCGAAGGCGGCCUUCUGGACAGACACUGACGCUGAGGCGCGAAAGCCGGGGGAGCAAACAG
This 406-nucleotide ribosomal RNA is filed under the name uncultured bacterium. RNAcentral describes it as "bacterial SSU rRNA". It matches the Rfam family "Bacterial small subunit ribosomal RNA", at positions 355 to 775 of the family's 1533-position model. The record is from RNAcentral.